CCUCAAGAUGAGAUUUCCCAUUUCUUUAAGAAAGCAAGAUCCCUGAGAGAUGAUCAGGUAGAUUGGUUAGGAGUGGAAGUACAGUGAUGUAUGGAGCGGACUGAUACUAAUCGAUCGAGGACUUAACCAAU
This 131-nucleotide ribosomal RNA is filed under the name Clostridium perfringens. RNAcentral describes it as "partial 23S ribosomal RNA". It matches the Rfam family "Bacterial large subunit ribosomal RNA", at positions 2797 to 2925 of the family's 2925-position model. The record is from RNAcentral. Lineage: Bacteria; Bacillati; Bacillota; Clostridia; Eubacteriales; Clostridiaceae.